CCUCUUUUAAACAACCAGCCUCCUUUUCUUUCCUUAGACCAGAUUGAAGACGUCGGAGACAACCAGAUAGAAGACGACAGAGACUAGUCCCAGAUUGCUUUCAAUCCCUCACAAGAUGCACCUCCGCGUGGGAAAGUACUGAUUCGUCCAGCUUGGGUGCAGGAAGACAAGGACACCAGGUCACUGCCCGGAUCAAAUCUUACUUAGAUACUAUUUCUCUCAUCCUUGUUGUGGACUGACUGCUUGGGCACGUCCACCUUGAUGGAGCCGGAUGAAGUGCAUAGGAUGUCUCUAUUGCAGCUAGCUAAGAGGCAACUUUUUGAACCAGAUACUAAUCUGCUGUACAAUCCUGUGAUAAGGGAACAACAGACACCCCAAGGAAAUCCUGAAUAUUCUAGGCGAGGGUGGACAUCGGGCCGCUCUUUCAUAGCUCAGUGCUAUUAUCCUGUCGCUCCUCAUCCUAGAGUCGAUACAGCUGUCACCCUGGGGACUCACAUGAUAUCCAAAGGAUUAGGUUGGGAAUUCCAUGAGGUUGAAUAUUCAGUAGCUCCCCCUGGGUACGUUGA
Long non-coding RNA from Triticum aestivum (bread wheat), 566 nucleotides. RefSeq lists it as uncharacterized. Lineage: Eukaryota; Viridiplantae; Streptophyta; Magnoliopsida; Poales; Poaceae. The transcript has 5 exons. The record is from RefSeq and is a predicted model, not a curated record.